AUUGAACGCUGGCGGCAGGCUUAACACAUGCAAGUCGAGCGGAGCGAGGGUGCUUGCACCUUAGCUUAGCGGCGGACGGGUGAGUAAUGCUUAGGAAUCUGCCUAUUAGUGGGGGACAACAUUCCGAAAGGAAUGCUAAUACCGCAUACGCCCUACGGGGGAAAGCAGGGGAUCUUCGGACCUUGCGCUAAUAGAUGAGCCUAAGUCGGGUUAGCUAGUUGGUGGGGUAAAGGCCUACCAAGGCGACGAUCUGUAGCGGGUCUGAGAGGAUGAUCCGCCGCACUGGGACUGAGACACGGCCCAGGCUCCUACGGGGGGCAGCAGUGGGGAAUAUUGGACAAUGGGCGGAAGCCUGAUCCAGCCAUGCCGCGUGUGUGAAGAAGGCCUUUUGGUUGUAAAGCACUUUAAGCGAGGAGGAAGCUACUUAGAUUAAUACUCUGGGGUAGUGGACGUUACUCGCAGAAUAAGCACCGGCUAACUCUGUGCCAGCCGCCGCCGUAA
Molecule: ribosomal RNA, 501 nt
Filed under: uncultured bacterium
Lineage: Bacteria
Description: partial 16S ribosomal RNA
Rfam family: Bacterial small subunit ribosomal RNA
Source: RNAcentral